UAGAAUAAAGUCAUAGGCCAUCGUUUAC
Molecule: non-coding RNA, 28 nt
Filed under: Bombyx mori (domestic silkworm)
Lineage: Eukaryota; Metazoa; Arthropoda; Insecta; Lepidoptera; Bombycidae
Source: RNAcentral